UGGAAAUUUACAGAUUCAUCUCAUACUGCAGCCCCGACGGCACGUUGAAACGCUGGACAUGAAAUGAAGUCACUGUUUUCACAUUUGUUUUUACUCUCGGGUUUUGCAAUUGCAAUUGUUCCUUUUUUUUCUUUUUUAGCGGUCAUGACUUUAUUUUGGACAGUUCCCUGUUUCACAAUGAUGGACAGACGACACUGGCAGGUCGCUCUCGCUGCAGCCUGUCAGUGUCUGUCUGUCAAUCUCUGAGAUCAAAUUGGAGCCAAGCUGUCUGACACCACUCAGAACACCUCCACACACCCCACCAAUCAGCCAUCACAGCUGCAGCUGCAAUCCACACUCAUCAGCCACAGGAUAAAUUCCUAGAUCUCCUCACCAGUCUCAGCUGACUGUUGAGCUCACUCACCUGCUCCAGUCCACCACCUGAAGAACCUGCCAACUCACCCUACUCACCUGCCUGCUGUGUGUCUGGACCACCAGGAGCAUCCUCCCCAUGAACAUUAUCCACUUUUGUGACAAUAAAACCUUUUGCUAUUCGAAUCCUCCAUCUUCUGUUUCCUGCAUUUGGAGUUCAAUCAUUUUCUCAGACCUUUAGAGUGACAGUAAGUUAAACAGUAAGAAAAUAAGAUAAUAUAUAUAGAUCUGUUUUUGUGACCUUAUCAACUAACUGAAUACACCAAGUAUUAUAGUAUCUAGUUGAAUAAUUAAAAUAGAGUUUGAAAGGAAGCAUAAAUCUCAAUUUUCCUUUAUGUCCAAUAAAGUGAUCACCUCUCACUCUCAUUUUAGUCCAUAUUUCAUUUCAUUUUUGUUCAUAGCACAAGUUUAAUGUAUUCCCAAUUUUCCUAUAGUGCAUUUGUGAGAAACAAUAUGUGCUCAAUAAUAUGCAGCAAUGUAUCCUUGUUUUUGAGCAGCUAGGCCGGCUUUAUGUUCGACCAUUUCACUUGUUUCUUAAUCAUCUUAACAAGAAAUUGUAACUUGCUACUCAAAUUUAUUUUAUUACUGGUUCUGAGUAACUUAAUGAUUGAAUUUCCGGAUUUAUAAAGCUGUUUGAUCGACAGUUAAAAGUAGAAAACUGCUUUGUCAAAGUCAGAAUUUCUUUGUAUCCAGACAUUUGUACCUGUUGUUAAUGUGGCUGCAUCACUUUUAGGAGAAGUGUGGGUCCUUUGAGACUAGAUAUUUGUGUUUUAAAAAUUUUAAGCUGCCUUUCUACUGGCACCAAGGACCCACUUUGGCUCCUUUUUUUCUUUUUCUUCUUUUUUCUCCUGCUUAUUGAUUUUAUUUCAUUUCUUGUUUAAGUUAUUAUUCUUUUUGCUGUGUCUCUUCAACAGAGUUGUUAUUAUUUUUUCAUUCAUUUUUUCCUUUGAAGAGAGAGGUUUUUUUCUGUUUGUUGAUCAUGUAUUGUCUGGAUUAUGUCAAAAAGCUGAAAAACAGCAAAAAAAAAUAUGUAAAGAAGAAAAAAAACAAAAGAUGAGCCGGGGAAGAAAACCAGUCCAGGAAGUCUCACUGGGAGGACUGGUGUGACUCAUUUGACCCCGAAGCCUCAGCGUGACCUUUGACCCUGAAGCGUCACCACCUGAGCCGGAUUACGUGCAGAACUUUACGAGUGCGCUGCGGCUUUUCAAACAGCACCACUCGCAUCCACUUCCACUUUUGGCAACACAACUCCAAAUAUUUCCAUAUGAGAUGAGCACUGACAAUAGCCUGUGUGACUGUGUCUGUGUGUGUGUGUGUGUGUAUUUCACUGCGCCGAAAGUUUCUA
Chelmon rostratus (copperband butterflyfish) is the source of this 1756-nucleotide long non-coding RNA. RefSeq lists it as uncharacterized. The transcript has 4 exons. NCBI's taxonomy places the organism in Eukaryota, Metazoa, Chordata, Actinopteri, Chaetodontiformes, Chaetodontidae. The record is from RefSeq and is a predicted model, not a curated record.